ACAGUCAGCCGGAUAGUCGUCUCGGAUUUAGAGUCCGGGAAGGAAAGUCCGAACUCCGCCGGGCAGGAUGCUCGAUAACAUCGAGGUGUGGCUGGCUGAGAUCAGCUGCAGGGAAAGUGCCACAGAAACAAUACCGUCCCGGUUUACCGGGAUAAGGGUGAAAUGGUGCGGUAAGAGCGCACCGGUUUCGCCGUAAGGCGAAAUGCCGGGUAAACCCCAUCCGGAGAAAGGUCAAGCAGGAGAGAGGGCAGCUGCCCGCUGCUUCCGGUCCGCCGGAACUCUCCGGGUAGACCGCUUCAGGUCACGUGUAAGCGUGAUCGCAGAUAAAUGACUAUCCAGCCCGAGUGAUCGGGUGGACAGAAUUCGGCUUACAGGCUGGCUGCAACU
This 387-nucleotide RNase P RNA is filed under the name Fidelibacterota bacterium. RNAcentral's name for it is "RNase P RNA component class A". It matches the Rfam family "Bacterial RNase P class A". Rfam says of the family: Ribonuclease P (RNase P) is a ubiquitous endoribonuclease, found in archaea, bacteria and eukarya as well as chloroplasts and mitochondria. Lineage: Bacteria; Pseudomonadati; Fidelibacterota. The record is from RNAcentral.